Molecule: unclassified non-coding RNA, 229 nt
Filed under: plant metagenome
Description: partial contains small subunit ribosomal RNA, internal transcribed spacer 1, and 5.8S ribosomal RNA
Source: RNAcentral
UCUCCGUAGGUGAACCUGCGGAGGGAUCAUUACAGAGUUCUCGCCCUCGCGGGUAGAUCUCCCACCCACUGUUAUCGUUACUGUGUUGCUUUGGCGGGCCGCCGGGCCCCGCUCGGCCGCCGGCUCCGGCUGGCGCGCGCCCGCCAGAGGCCCAGCAAACCCUGAAUGUUAGUAUCGUCUGAGUACUAUAUAAUAGUUAAAACUUUCAACAACGGAUCUCUUGGUUCUG